CAGCAGGCGCGAAAACUCUACAAUGCAGGCAACUGCGAUAGGGGAACAUCGAGUGAUCCUCAUAUUGGGGGUCUGUCCCACCGUCUAAAAAACGGUGGUUAGCAAGGGCCGGGCAAGACCGGUGCCAGCCGCCGCGGUAAUACCGGCGGCUCGAGUGGUGGCCGAUAUUAUUGAGUCUAAAGGGUCCGUAGCCGGCUUUGCAAGUCUCUCGGGAAAUCCAGCGGCUUAACCGUUGGUCGUCCGGGGGGUACUACAUUGCUUGGGACUGGGAGAGGUAGGAGGUACUCAGGGGGUAGGAGUGAAAUCCUGUAAUCCUCUGGGGACCACCGGUGGCGAAGGCGUCCUACCAGAACAGGUCCGACGGUGAGGGACGAAAGCUAGGGGCACGAACCGGAUUAGAUACCCGGGUAGUCCCAGCCGUAAACGAUGCUCGCUAGGUGUCACAACAGUCGUGAACUGUUGUGGUGCCGUAGGGAAGCCGUGAAGCGAGCCACUUGGGAAGUACGACCGCAAGGUUGAAACUUAAAGGAAUUGGCGGGGGAGCA
This 545-nucleotide ribosomal RNA is filed under the name uncultured archaeon. RNAcentral's name for it is "bacterial SSU rRNA". It matches the Rfam family "Archaeal small subunit ribosomal RNA", at positions 333 to 878 of the family's 1478-position model. The record is from RNAcentral.